Non-coding RNA from Rattus norvegicus (Norway rat), 4847 nucleotides. The record is from RefSeq and is a predicted model, not a curated record. NCBI's taxonomy places the organism in Eukaryota, Metazoa, Chordata, Mammalia, Rodentia, Muridae.
CCAUCUGUGAACGAUUUAAAUAAAACGUGUCAUGGGUCCAUAAUUAUUUAAGAACGAUUAGAAAUAAAAACACAACAUAAACCCCCAAAUCUCAAAUAGCUUUAAAGUGCUCUCAUCUCUUCUACGUCUCUGUUAACUUUGCUCACCCCAGGCCUAUGCUGGGCAGAGAUUAGGUUGUAUAACAGAUGCUCUUUGUGUUUAGGCCAAAUUGGAUGAUUUAACAGUCGCUCUCCCUGCAGCUGUGGCAACAAGCUGUGGCAACUGUUGCUCACAAAGAGACCGACCGGCUCAGCUGGAAUCUGCCUCACCUAUAGAGUGGUAUGAUGCCCGCCUUUACCUUGGAAGCUGGUUCAAUUGCCGGAAAACAUAUUCCGCGCCUACGGUAAUGACAAGAGGCCUCAAAGACAUGAAGUGUGACUGCCUGCUGUCCUUGUGGUGACAUUCGAUGUGAGCUGCUUUUGAAUGAGCCUCCCUGUGGGCACACAUCUGCUGACAUGGAGCCGUUAUGUCCCCGGACCACUGGGACGGAAAGGGCUUUGUCUUCCACAAAGCAAAAACUCCCAUGCGUUCUGAUGCUAACAGGACAAUAUCCUUUUGUACCGAGCUGCUUGGGGUGGGGCAUGAGGAGGAGGAAUUAAAAGUGGGCCCGACUAUACCUGGGGAAUAGAUGGCAACGCGGUCGAUUCCCCGAUCCUCCUCUUGCAGUUGUCGGAGAAACACCCCGACGGAGUCCGAGAUAGGCUUGAGUGUGAACUGGCAGCGUUCUCGCCGAGAAGGUAGCCUCACAGAUAUCACCGGUAAACCAUUUUGAUAAACCACCGUCACGUCUGAGCAAAAAGACCCACAAACAUAUAACGAGAGUGGGCUCCUAAUUCUCAGAAUGUUGUAAGGAAGAAAGGAAACAAACCACUCUAGCAGCGCACUAACUGGCCACGAAGUGCUAAUGAGCUCACUUGAAGCAUCGAAAGGCUCCUCUGUUGUUCUCAGUAGCACUGCACACCUCAAAACUAGAUCAGGAGGAACUGCCGUGGAGAUUCAGAAAGCAUCGGACUUCCCAGAGCUGCUACCCACUCCCGUGCUCUUGCCUGUCUCAACAACAAACCCCCAACCAUUCUCAUUUUCAACGGACAUUUGAUGACUGUCUCAAAAACAUCCCUACGAUUCCCCACAAUUCCCUCAGCCCCGCCCCUGCAAAGCCCUAGGUUUUGUAGAGCUCCUGUAUCGGAUUUUGUUGUAUCAAGGUGCUACUGGUGCUCUAUGACAAGCAACUCUUUGUAAAUGGCGGCUUUCCCAUGGCAUGGUUGACACAUCCAUGCUCUAUGCGACCGUAGUUCAUUUGUUUGUAUCACUGAGCGGUAUUUUUAAAAAUUCUAGGUUAAUGGAAAGUAAUGGGUCCACCCUCGUAUCUCCAUCCUCCCAUGCCCUAUUCCAAUGUAAAACCCACUGCAACUUCUCUUCACGCCCUUGACAGAAAGUCUUAGCUAUCAUCAAUGAAGCUUCUACGAUGACUGGAAUGUUCUUGUGCCACAGUUAGCGUCCAUCUGUGGCAGAUUCAGCCUCCUGCAAAUUGGUAUUUGUGAAAUCUUUGGGCCUAUACUGAACAAAGCACGCAUUAUUCUCUAAAUACUAAAGUGACCGUUUGCAAAGCAUUUGUGCUUCGUUCAGUGCCCCAAGCCACCGCCUCCUUUCUGUCUGAAGAGCCACCUUAAACAUGACUGCUGCACAAAUGCACUGCCAGUGGGUUCUCUCCAUUUUUGUAUGUCUAAGAAAGUCACUGCACCUUGAGUUUUGGAAGAUAUUUUUAGUGUGUAAGAGAAAAUCUAGCUGACAGAUUCUCUUCUCCCCUUUUGGCACUUUUGGAAGAAUUAGCUCCAUCAUCCUGUCGUACCUGGAACAUGGAGUUCGGGCUUUUUGUAUCUUUAUUCUAUCUGGGAUCCGUGUUCCUCCGUGUGCUCUUUGUGGUCCCUGCUCAGCAUGGUUUUCAAUGGGCUGAUUGUGACGUCACUUGUUUUCCUUCGUGAUUGUUCUACUUAAACAGAUGCAUGUCGGAGAGCGGAGCAUUCACCGUGUUCACCAAAUUUGGAGAAAAAUCUUAUUUAAUUUCCUGUCUGUCUUCCACCCUCUUCCUGAGAGCCCUAACUAUGCUUCCGGUCAAUCAUGUGGUAGUCUUGACACUGAGAGCCCUAACUAUGCUUCCGGUCAAUCAUGACACUUGGUGACCCUUCUUCAUGUAUUUCAAGUCCUUCCCGCUCAGCUUCUGGAUCACCUUAGCACUAUUCCCCUGUCCCCUACCUUCUUAAUUCCUCCUGUAUGGUUUUGUUUUAAUUGACUGAUUGACUGACUGACUGACUGACUGACUGACUGACUGACUGGUUGUUGGUUUUUCAAGACAGGGUUUCUCUGUGUAGCGCUGGCUGUCCUGGAACUUGCUCUGUAGACCAGACUGGCCUGGAACUCAGAGAUCCGCCUGCUUCUGCUUCCCCGGCGCUUGGAUUAAAGACAACCUGGAUCUGGCUGGUCACCGCUCCGCGCAGGAAGCUAUCACACAAGCUGUCUAACUAGCAAGGCCUGUUCAGCGUCCUGGCUCGUUGUUCAUCUCAGCAAGCCGAUCGGGCCCUGGCUGUUUCUUCUCCUCAUACAUUAGUCUGGAGACUGCCUCCUGCGGGAAGCUGGGAAGAUGCCUUUAGCUGGGAUUGCAGGAUUAUGCUGCUUGACGUCCAGAUGUCUGAAAACCGCUGCCACGGGUAAGUUGUGUGUUUGUGGCGGGGCAGACAUCACCAUUAGAGCUCAUACUUCACGGACACAGAUACGUGACUUGAGAUUUGACAUAGAAAGUUAAAAAACAACAACUGAGUACACACUCAAAGAAUAGUGUUGUAGGAAAUACUUAGUCUCGACCAGGGUUUCUAUGCCGUCUUUGACCAUUCAGUUCCUGGAUAAAAGACACACAGCCUUUAUAUUUACAAUAAGCCUUAAUCAGCACAAGACCUAGGCAGAUCUACUCUCUAUGCCACAAUGUCUAUUUCUCUAUGGACAAACCCACAGUAUAACUUGCCAUGUUCCAUUUGGGCUGCUCUUAAAUUCAAUUGGCCAGCUGUCAUAACUGUGAUUUUAUGAUUCUUACCCCAUGGCAUCUUUUGCUCUCUCCACCUUCCUCUCUCUCUUCCUCCCCAGACCUGAAGCCUGGGAACCCCAGAUCCUGUUCAUCCCAAUUCUGCCCAGCUCUAGGCUGUAGGCAUCUAUAUUCACCAAUCAGGGAUAACUUGGGGGGGGGGUGACUGGGUACAUCCCUUGGGUACAUCUGUUUCAGGGCACUAGUCCCAAGGAACCGGUAUUUAGCAUUAGAAUACUGACAAGCAGCGUCAGACCAACCCGCAACAGAGCAGAGGCUGCUUUCCCAGGAACAGGUCAAACAAAACACCCAAUACCAACACCAGCCAUAUCUGCAACAUCUAGACACGUUUGAAAAGAUUAUCAUUUUCCUUCUCAGAAAGAAUCCUUAGCCCAGCAUUCCCAGCCUCUGGUAUGUAAACACAUAGGCUUCUUCUACAGACAGCAAUGAUGGUAUAUUAAGUGAUUAGCGUUUUCACUUGGCAUCUUUAUAGCAAUUAUCUUCUUUCUGUUAUGCAAAAGACAAGCUAACCACAGAUCUCUAAAGGAGGCAGAGGGGAUUUAAAGAAAAGAUAGAAUUCUUGGAGCUAAGGCUUGGAGCACAUCAUCACACCAACAGUUUCCACAGAUAAACGCCCAAGGUUGCUGUCUUUAAAAUAACGGAGCGAGACAUAGUCAACAGGGAGUCUGAAGAUCUUUGCAUCUUCCUUUAAAUACUAAGCCUUUGGAAGGAAAGAAAUAGAAGAGUUUCGAGCAACAACUCUGCAUGGAAUACACAGACCUUCAUUAUAAUACUACUUUCUAAGAGAAGCCCCAGGUCCUCCUCUUUCCCACACGUUGGAUUGCAGGGCAAAUGUUAGACUUCUUGGUUAACAGCCUACAGGGUAAUCCCCAAAGGCUGUCAGCUUUAACUGUAUCAAGAAAAGGCCCAUGGAGGCUCACAGAGGCAGAACCUCCACCCAAGAGGACAUAGGGGCCAGACCCAGGCCUUCUACACAUUUGUAGCAGACGUGCAACUGGGUCUUCAUGUGGAUCCCCUAACAUUGGAGUGGGGUUGUCUCUGACUUUGGUGCCUGCCAUUGGAUCCCCUUCCCCUAGCUGGACCGCCUGGCUGGGCCUCGUGAGAGUGGAUGUGCUCUUAGCCCUGCUUUGACUGGAUGUCCCAAGGUGGGGUGGUACUAAAGCAAGGCUUCCUUUUCUUUGGGGUCGGGGGAUGCUGUAAGAGUGGGACUGGGAGGAGAGGAGGGAGGGGGUUAUGUUCAGGAUGUAAAGUAGGAUUUACAAGGAGGGUCACAACACCCAUUACUACAGAGACACUCCUUUAAAGUGUAAGUUCCACAAAGUAGCUUUGGCUUUGACUUCUAUAUUAAUAAAAUAAGAAUAAACAAGCACAUUUACCAAGAGUGUUGCUUCAAAGAGGCUUAGAAGUCACUGGGUUGUCACCAUAAACACUUAGAGCCAGUCAUAGUGCAACAAGGGCUUUAAGCAUAAAACAGAGUAUCUGGAAUUCUGUAGGCAGAGAUGGCUCAUUGGUUAAGAGCACUGGCUGCUCAUCCAGAGGACCCAGGUUCAAUUCCCAACAGCCACAUGGAAACUCACAACAGUCUGUAACUCCAUCCCAGAGGAUCUAACUCUCUCCUCUGACUUCUGCAGCACCUCACACAACAUGGAAUUCUGUGGGCUAAGGAGAGCAGUGCAGGUGCUCUGGACAGACUAGGAGUAGACUGGGAACAGAC